UACGGAAGGGGCAAGCGUUGUUCGGAAUUAUUGGGCGUAAAGGGCGCGUAGGUGGUCUUGUAUGUCUAUCGUGAAAGCACACGGCUCAACCGUGUAACGUCGGUGGAAACUGCAGGACUUGAGGUUGGGAGGGGCUGGUGGAAUUCCCUGUGUAGCGGUGAAAUGCGUAGAGAUGGGGGAGAACACUUGUGGCGAAGGCGGCCAGCUGGACCAAUCCUGACACUGAGGCGCGACAGCGUGGGGAGCAAACAGG
RNAcentral lists this ribosomal RNA (253 nucleotides) under uncultured bacterium. Its description in RNAcentral is "partial 16S ribosomal RNA". It matches the Rfam family "Bacterial small subunit ribosomal RNA", at positions 524 to 776 of the family's 1533-position model. The record is from RNAcentral.